GUGACCUGCGGAANGAUCAUUAUUGANNNNCCUGAUGAGUUGUUGCUGGUUCUCUCUAGGGGGAACAUYGUGCACACUUGUCAUCUUUAUAUCACCUCCUGUGCACUUUUUUUGUAGGCGAGGAUUGACCUCCGAGUCUACGUUUCUUCAUAUACCCCAAUGUAUGUUAUAGAAUGUAAUAUAAUGGGCUUUUGUUGCCUAUAAACCUUUAUACAACUUUCAGCAACGGAUCUCUUGGCUCUCGCAUCGAUGAAGAACGCAGCGAAAUGCGAUAAGUAAUGUGAAUUGCAGAAUUCAGUGAAUCAUCGAAUCUUUGAACGCACCUUGCGCUCCUUGGUAUUCCGAGGAGCAUGCCUGUUUGAGUGUCAUUAAUAUAUCAACCUCACUUGUUGAGUGCUUGGAUGUGGGGGUUGCUGGACUCUUUUCUUAAGAGGUCAGCUCCCUUGAAAUGCAUUAGCAGAACAAAUCCGUUCAUUUUGGUGUGAUACACUAUCUACGCUAAUUGACGACCAAGUUCAGCUUCUUAAUAGUCUUUAUUGACAAUUUAUUUUAUUAAUGUGACCUCAAAUCAGGUAGGACUACCCGCUGAACUUAAGCAUA
RNAcentral lists this ribosomal RNA (600 nucleotides) under Thaxterogaster vibratilis. RNAcentral's name for it is "eukaryotic LSU rRNA". The stretch from base 215 to 368 matches the Rfam family "5.8S ribosomal RNA". The record is from RNAcentral. Lineage: Eukaryota; Fungi; Basidiomycota; Agaricomycetes; Agaricales; Cortinariaceae.